CUUGAUGCUCUUUUCUAUGCAUUUCACGCGAUUUAUAUGCAAGAUAUAUGCACGAUUUGAUGUGCAAAAUGUAUGUGCGAUUGAUGCGCAAGACGUAUGCGCAAUUCGAUGCGCGAGAUGUAUUGCGCAUUCCUUGUUCAGCCAUGUUGGAAUUCUUUUCGUUCGGUUCAGUUCGGCAUCUGUAGAAUCGAAGGAGAACAAUAACAUUUAUUUGAUUUAUAAUUUUAUAAAAGUUUCAAGAAGUAAGCAGUGAAAAAUGGAUAUUUAAAAAAAAAAUACAUGUAAAAACAAGGUCGCUUUAAUAAAAUCUUUCUUGAUCGCGUUAUAAUCAUAUCGUGUUAUCUACUCGAUUUAUAAUUAAAACGUAACCGUAUCUUAUUAUUUUAUACAAUUUUAUUAAUAGUUAUCGCGAAUGUGUUAAUUGCAAAUAUUUUUAGUAAUUUAUUGUCGUGAAUACUUUUGGUAUUCUUUUCUACGCAAUUCGCGCGUUUUAUGCGCAAGAUAUAUGCGCAAUUCGAUGCGCGAGACGUAUUGCGCAUUCCUUUGUCAGCCAUGUUGGAAUUUUACGUUCUUUUCGUCCAUUUCGGUUCGGUACAUUUAGAAUCAAAUAACGACAUUUGUUUGUGAUUCAUAAUUUCAGAGAAGUUCAUAACUUUCAAAAAGUGAGCAGUGAAAAGUGAUAAACGUCAAGAUCUAAACUUGAAACUCGUUUAUAGACUCCAAUGAGAGUUCCCGCGUAAAUAAUAACGUGAACCACGUUAACUGCGUAGUUAACAGUGUCGUAUUUUCGGUCACAAAUUUCGAGAACGAAUGUGUAUAUUUUAUCUUUAUUUUGGAAAUGCUGACGAUUUUAAACGGAUAUAGGUUAAAUACACUUAAUAUCAUUACACGCGUGAACUACUGGCACAGCAUGUUUGCAAAGAAGAAUCUUCAUCGUGUAAAUAUUUAUCGAAUCGUGAUGAUUUGACAUCUCAUCGAAUGCGGUAAGUUUGUAAUUUCUGUGAAUGCAUGAAUAUUUAUUGAAAACAUUUAAUUAAUGACACGAUUGAGUAACUCGAUUGAUUUCAAUAUUUUCGUUAACGAAAAUAGCUUAUUAUUCAUAUUUUCGUAUAUUAUUAUACAUGGUUAAUCCUAUAAUACGGGAUUUAGUUUCGAGGAAAAUGUAUUUUUAAAAUUUUUGUUUCAAUUUUAUUCAAUACUGUAAAAUGGAAACAUUACAGUAUUAUUACGUCAGUAUUAUUAAAAUUUAUAUUGACUGUGUUAUAUUGACCGUAAGAGCAUUGUUACAAUUUAUGAACUAUGUUUUAUUAAAAUGAUAUUAUGUAAAUACCGUAUUAUAUUAGGAUUACCUCUAUUAUAUGGUACAUUAAAAUUUCAAUCCAUUGAGCUUUUUCGGAAGCUUCUAUUGUGAUUUAUAAAAUUUAACAUAAAUUUAGUCGUCGAAAUAUCGAAUUUUCGCAAGAUUAUCGAUCCAAUUCAUUUCUUUGAUCGUUCGAAAGGUUAAUUUCGUCAUUGGAAAGUGACAGUAAAUCUUAUAACCGAUGAUCAUGUAUACGUCGGCAUAAAGUUCAAGGCAAAGGAAAGCAAGUUUCCUUUUUCCAGAUCUGUGGAAAACGAUUGUAGGAACGUAGUCGCACGUGCUAGAAAUGUCGACUUUCUCAGCUGUUCGCUGUGCCGGGAUAAAGAGAAACUAUUAGCUCGCCCGUGGCGUCGCGACGACCUGGAUUAAUUUAGAAAUUUAAUUAACAAAACCGUAAGCGCUCUUUCCCUCAGUCCCGCACCCCAUUCUUCCUGUUGCCAUUUUGCUCUCACGAUUUUUACACUUUCAUUCGACGGAAUUAAAAAUAAGAUGUUCUCGUCCGGUUUUUAUCGUAAUUAAACAUAUCUCGUGUAUUUCGCUCGAACGCCACGAAAACGCGUUCUAUCGUCGUGAACAUCGUCCGAUACGAAAAAUCCUUUUCGAUACGAUAUAAAAUCAGCCUCGCCUGAGACAUAAAUUUGGUCAACCGAACACAGGUGAUCGCUAACUUAUUUUACGAUUGCCAUAAUAAAAGUGUCGACGAGACGUCUGGACACGGUAGGCGUCUCGAACAUUUCUUGUUUUUCUUUUUUAUUUAUCUACCGUUCGAAUCGAUGCUCCGGGGAAAAAUCAUGUCUGCGCUACGGACGGCACAAUAGAAACAGAAUAUUUAGAUUAAAACGAAAACUCGUUACGUAACUAUACAAACGGGCUCGUGCGGUAAAUCACGUCCACUCGAUUCUCUUUAUCCUGCUGCCAUCCUUCAUGCCUGCUCGCUGGAAAAUCGAACCGAAUAAAAAACUCGGCGCCCUCCUUGAUUCUCCCGAUCUCUCAGUGGAUGCGUUGAUUUAUCGCGGCAAUCUUCGGAAAGCAAACACGAGGAUCGCGAGCAAUGCUCGCAAAUGAGUAAAACGUUUCGCGGCCGCGAGAUCUGUAACGAAGAAUAAUUGAAAUGGCGUGAGAGCCUAGGGUAUGGACUAUAGAUAGGUAUACGCGUCUCUCCUCGAUACUCCUAUACACGCGACGCCGGGGAAUCUCUCGACGUAUAUAUCUGGCGGGGUUACGCUCUUCCUAACGAUUUUUCGAUAUCGGUAAGCGAUGCGUUUUUAUCCGUACCGCGAUGGAAACGUUCGAACGUUGCAGACAAUCUGCCGGAUAACGCUUAACUGUCCCCCACGUAGCUAGAAUAAUCGGCCGAUUUUUAUGUCCUGUUCGUCGUGGCGCUGCGUUCCGGAAUUUAUGAAAACGUUUAUGAAGUAGUAGGGUUGGUUGAGAGAGAGAGAGAGAAAAAAGGGAAAAGGAUAUUCACGACGAGAAUGCGACGUUAUGUUCUAAUCCUUCCAAAUGGGAGGAUCCCGCGACUGACAGAGGUUGCUUUAUUUCGCGUACGAAUUGUUUCUCUACUUUUCGAUUAUCUUCGUGUUUUAUUUUUCGUCACGAUUUUCCUCGUGAUAUAUUUUUUUAUUAUUCGAAUAAUUAAUUGCGUAAUUUUUCCUGAGACAUCCCUCUCAAAUUGUUCGCUUUUACGCUUCACGAAUAAUUUCUCUUCAUAAAAUUCAAGACAACCGAUUGAAAUUCACCUGUGAACCAAUUCACAGUGAAUCAAUCGCGGACUUCACGGCUCUCCUCGCUCAAGGGUGAACGGUCGGUUAUUCACAGCGAUUCACAGCCAAGCGCGUAACACGUUCGCGCGUUGAUCCCCCUUUGAUGCGCUUGAAUCGAUCAACGUUGCGUACGUGAACCGCGUGCAGGUAAAACGCGGCGUGUAACGUUGGACGAAAAUUCCAUAACGGAACGCGAAUAAUCGUGCGCAAAGGAACACGAAUAAUUUUAUAUCCGGCCAGUUUCGUGUCGGGCUAUGGAUAUCGACGGUAAAACCGUAAUAUACAGCCGGAUGAUAUUUUAUUUCAUCGAAAAUUACGUUGAACGUAAUUCUCAGCGUGUCGGACGUUAAUAAUUAUAAAAAAAAUCUCCCUCUCCCUCUUUCUCUCUUUCUCUCUCUCUCUCUCUCUCUCUGGUGAAGAGAAAUGUGCUGCGGCGAGCUCGGUGUCAGCUUCAUUACGGCGGAGUGCUCGUCGGAAGGAUUUAAAUCCGGGGUCGCCUUAAAUCGGGAAGGAUUCUGGACAAAUCAGAUCGUCGUUCACGUCGUUGUCGUCUUCGUCGUCCGUCGUCCUAGUAGUCCUCGUCAUCCGUCUCUCGUUCCUUCCCUUCCGUUUACGCGUCGACGAAGAGGAGGCUUGACAUUAAUAGUCUCGCGGCGGAUAAGCCGUUUUUGAAAUGACGUUCGAAGGGAAUAAUACAUGGAGGGUCACUUCUCGGCCUCGUCUCUCCACCCCAACGGAACGGACGUCCCUUUUCAAAUAACGCAUUCGAAGUCCUUUGCUUUUCGGCAAAGUGGAGGACCCUUCACAGGGACUUCCACCCUUACGCCGACCGUCUCACACUCCGCUGUAUAUCUAUUGGCUUGUGCGCGUGUAGAUGUGGCUAGCCGUGACGUACAGGGUGUUCUGGAAAUAAGAAAUAGUUCGAAUGAUUAAUAACGAUGAUAUCGUUUAUGGCUUUUUCCAUGAAAUAGAAGAAAUUGACCUACUGGAACUUAUCGUAUGAAUAUUCAUAAGUAAUUCUUUUUUUUUACAUUAUUUCGUUUCGAAUAUUCCGAGCAUAGUCUAUUUUUUUUUUUAAUUUAUUUCCACAAUGCACGAUUAAAUUUCCCUAAUGAUUGAAUAUCGAUCACUCGAUUCUGCCCUCUUACAAUUAGCGUAAAAUGAUUGAAUGUUUAAAUUAAUUUUUUUUUUUUUAUAUUAUCCAUUAAGCUUUGAUGCAGUAACGAAAUUAGUUAAUUAUCGAGAGUAAUCACGUGUGCGCGCGGAGAAUAUUCGCGAAGAAUAAUUGAAAUAGAAUUUCGUUCGAACAAUGAAAGCGUCGGUUCAUUUCGCAACUAUUUUAAAAAUUUCAGCCAACAUUAUAAUAGAGUUAUAAAGAGGAACGACAUUAAAUCCAUCUUUGACGCUUUUAAAAAAGCUUUCGUCGGACGCCUGCGAAAAAACACGCCUGUCGAUCAAUAUUUUAAUUAUAAUUUCGGCUUCAAAGGAUGUAUUAAUUGAAUUUUAUCAGUGGAAUUACUUCGUGUGUAAAUAAUUUCUUACAGGCGCGUACGUUCUCUCGUAAUAACAGCGAUUAAUUUGCCCCUUUUAGCUGGAAAUCGCGUUGUUGGAACACCUUGUACAUAAAUAUUGAGGCACACGCGUGUCCGUUUCUCUCUUUUUCGAUCGUCACACUCGCCCAGACAACCCUUCUCUUGCACCACUUCCCUGUCACUCUCGUUCUCGUUUCCCCACUUCUAAACUCUGUCUUCGUUAAUUGCCUCAAUUAAAUCUUUGUUACGAGCGAUUUGAGCCCGGCGAUUUUGGAAGGAGGGAACGGAUACAUGGGUUGUGUAACGGUAUGUGCACUCUUUUUCAAGGAAUUUCGUAAUUUCAAUCAUUUAAUACCAUUUAGAUCACUCUACAGAGUAAUUUAUUUUUCUUCUAUGAUAAGAACCUCUUAGCAAUAGAAGUUUA
Molecule: long non-coding RNA, 5079 nt
Organism: Apis dorsata (giant honeybee)
Lineage: Eukaryota; Metazoa; Arthropoda; Insecta; Hymenoptera; Apidae
Exons: 2
Source: RefSeq, a predicted model, not a curated record